UUUCAAAAAAGCUCAACCACUCACCUACCAACACACAAGACACAAAACAAAUCAUUUGCCCUAACUAGUAAAGGAGAUUAAACAU
This 85-nucleotide ribosomal RNA is filed under the name Tropidurus spinulosus. Its description in RNAcentral is "partial 16S large subunit ribosomal RNA". The record is from RNAcentral. Lineage: Eukaryota; Metazoa; Chordata; Lepidosauria; Squamata; Tropiduridae.